UACAGGGGGUGCAAACGUUGCUCGGAAUCAUUGGGCGUAAAGCGCACGUAGGCGGUUCGUUAUGUCGGAUGUGAAAGCCCUUGGCUUAACCGAGGAAGUGCAUCCGAAACUGGCGAGCUAGAGUACGAAAGAGGAUCGCGGAAUUCCCGGUGUAGAGGUGAAACUCGUAGAUAUCGGGAGGAACACCGGUGGCGAAGGCGGCGAUCUGGGUCGAUACUGACGCUGAGGUGCGAAAGCGUGGGGAGCAAACAGG
This 253-nucleotide ribosomal RNA is filed under the name uncultured bacterium. Its description in RNAcentral is "partial 16S ribosomal RNA". It matches the Rfam family "Bacterial small subunit ribosomal RNA", at positions 524 to 776 of the family's 1533-position model. The record is from RNAcentral.